CAUUCGGUUUUUUUUGAAACCACCGUCAGUUUACUUUAAAAAGGUUU
Aedes aegypti (yellow fever mosquito) is the source of this 47-nucleotide non-coding RNA. The record is from Rfam. Lineage: Eukaryota; Metazoa; Arthropoda; Insecta; Diptera; Culicidae.